GACAGAGGGUGCAAACGUUGCUCGGAAUCACUGGGCGUAAAGGGCGUGUAGGCGGGAGGGAUAGUCAGAUGUGAAAUCCCUGGGCUCAACCCGGGAACUGCGUCCGAUACUGGUUGGCUUGAAUCCGGGAGAGGGACGUGGAAUUCCAGGUGUAGCGGUGAAAUGCGUAGAUAUCUGGAGGAACACCGGUGGCGAAGGCGACGUCCUGGACCGGCAUUGACGCUGAGGCGCGAAAGCCAGGGGAGCAAACGGG
Molecule: ribosomal RNA, 253 nt
Filed under: uncultured bacterium
Lineage: Bacteria
Description: partial 16S ribosomal RNA
Rfam family: Bacterial small subunit ribosomal RNA
Source: RNAcentral